This 31-nucleotide non-coding RNA is filed under the name Homo sapiens (human). The record is from RNAcentral. Lineage: Eukaryota; Metazoa; Chordata; Mammalia; Primates; Hominidae.
AUGCUGUGGUCUUCUCCAGCGACAAGCUGGC